UACGUAGGGGGCAAGCGUUAUCCGGAUUUACUGGGUGUAAAGGGAGCGUAGACGGUUAUGCAAGUCAGAAGUGAAAGCCCAAAGCUCAACUUCGGGACUGCUUUUGAAACUGUGUAACUAGAGUGCAGGAGGGGUAAGCGGAAUUCGUGGUGUAGCGGUGAAAUGCUUAGAUAUCACGAAGAACUCCGAUUGCGAAGGCAGCCUGCUGGACUGUAACUGACGCUGAUGCUCGAAAGUGUGGGUAUCAAACAGG
This 253-nucleotide ribosomal RNA is filed under the name uncultured bacterium. Its description in RNAcentral is "partial 16S ribosomal RNA". It matches the Rfam family "Bacterial small subunit ribosomal RNA", at positions 524 to 776 of the family's 1533-position model. The record is from RNAcentral.